GCUGUGUGUUGGGUGGGGGUAUACAAACAAACACACACAAACCAUGAUCUGAUCCUCUAUUAAUCAGGAUGGGAAAAACUAGGAAAUUAUAAAUGCAGUUAUUUAACCACCAAAAAAUAAAUUCAAUUCACUUGUUUAUUACAAGUCAAUCCACUACAUUCACAACGACAUUGACAAGAAAAUCUUUCCUUUUAUUAAGCUUCAAGCUUUCUACUGAUUAAGCUUCCAAUAUUAAUUAAAAAGAAAAUGAUAUUGUCUCCAAUAAUCAGCUACCAAUAACUAAAUGGUGAUGGAGAAUAAAAACAUGAUUGAAAUCUAUCAUUUAUGCUGGCUUUGUCACUGUUUACAUCUAUAUAAGCAUAUUCCACCAAAACAUCUAGCACAAGUCAUGCAUUCUAGGUACCAAGCACGAUAAUCAGUCACUAGGAUCUGAACCAUUUGGUUUCACUAAUAUCAGUAAUCAACUGAACUAAAUAUAGCAGGAGCAGGAAGGCAAGGAGACAAA
RNAcentral lists this unclassified non-coding RNA (505 nucleotides) under Hevea brasiliensis (rubber tree). The record is from RNAcentral. Lineage: Eukaryota; Viridiplantae; Streptophyta; Magnoliopsida; Malpighiales; Euphorbiaceae.